This 483-nucleotide ribosomal RNA is filed under the name uncultured bacterium. RNAcentral's name for it is "partial 16S ribosomal RNA". It matches the Rfam family "Bacterial small subunit ribosomal RNA", at positions 30 to 506 of the family's 1533-position model. The record is from RNAcentral.
AUUGAACGCUGGCGGAAUGCUUUACACAUGCAAGUCGAACGGCAGCACGGGGGCAGCCCUGGUGGCGAGUGGCGAACGGGUGAGUAAUACAUCGGAACGUGCCCGGUCGUGGGGGAUAACGUAGCGAAAGUUACGCUAAUACCGCAUACGAUCUGAGGAUGAAAGCGGGGGACCUUCGGGCCUCGCGCGAUCGGAGCGGCCGAUGUCAGAUUAGGUAGUUGGUGGGGUAAAGGCCUACCAAGCCGACGAUCUGUAGCUGGUCUGAGAGGACGACCAGCCACACUGGGACUGAGACACGGCCCAGACUCCUACGGGAGGCAGCAGUGGGGAAUUUUGGACAAUGGGCGCAAGCCUGAUCCAGCCAUUCCGCGUGCAGGACGAAGGCCUUCGGGUUGUAAACUGCUUUUGUACGGAACGAAAAGGCUCUGGCUAAUUCCUGGGGCUCAUGACGGUACCGUAAGAAUAAGCACCGGCUAACUACGU